This 269-nucleotide long non-coding RNA is filed under the name Ananas comosus (pineapple). RNAcentral's name for it is "long non-coding RNA (ACOM_LNC040848)". Lineage: Eukaryota; Viridiplantae; Streptophyta; Magnoliopsida; Poales; Bromeliaceae. The record is from RNAcentral.
AUUACUUUGACAUGCUCAUGAUAUAGCAUUGGUACAUAUAGCACACUUGCCGGUUUCAUUGUUGCAUUGUAGUAUACUCGGUUGCUUGGUUAGAGCUUACUCUUUAUGCAUUGGACAUAUUAUCUUGAUAGCGUAGAUGUACAUCACCAUGACAUCAUGUUUACUUGAGAUAUAGCGGUUUAGCUCUUCAAUUAUGCUUUCGUAUUGUUGUUGCUAUUACUCUUAUUAUUGCUUAUAGUACUUACCCUUUUCUUUGGGGCCUAGUGGUG